This 471-nucleotide ribosomal RNA is filed under the name uncultured Desulfobulbus sp. RNAcentral's name for it is "bacterial SSU rRNA". It matches the Rfam family "Bacterial small subunit ribosomal RNA", at positions 916 to 1382 of the family's 1533-position model. The record is from RNAcentral. Lineage: Bacteria; Pseudomonadati; Thermodesulfobacteriota; Desulfobulbia; Desulfobulbales; Desulfobulbaceae.
GGGGCCCGCACAAGCGGUGGAGUAUGUGGUUAAUUCGAUGCAACGCGAAGAACCUUACCUGGUCUUGACAUCCCGGAGACCCUUAGGAAACUAGGGGGUGCUUCCAUCUGGAAGAAUCUGGAGACAGGUGCUGCAUGGCUGUCGUCAGCUCGUGUCGUGAGAUGUUGGGUUAAGUCCCGCAACGAGCGCAACCCUUGCCUUUAGUUGCCAGCAGUUCGGCUGGGCACUCUAAAGGGACUGCCGGUGUUAAACCGGAGGAAGGUGGGGAUGACGUCAAGUCCUCAUGGCCUUUAUGACCAGGGCUACACACGUACUACAAUGGCCGAUACAAAGGGCAGCGACACUGCGAGGUGAAGCCAAUCCCGUAAAAUCGGUCUCAGUCCGGAUUGGAGUCUGCAACUCGACUCCAUGAAGUUGGAAUCGCUAGUAAUCGUGGAUCAGCAUGCCACGGUGAAUACGUUCCCGGGCCUU